This 75-nucleotide transfer RNA is filed under the name Caldisericum exile. RNAcentral's name for it is "tRNA-Thr". It matches the Rfam family "tRNA". Rfam says of the family: Transfer RNA (tRNA) molecules are approximately 80 nucleotides in length. Lineage: Bacteria; Pseudomonadati; Caldisericota; Caldisericia; Caldisericales; Caldisericaceae. RNAcentral also lists the same sequence under 2 other names. The record is from RNAcentral.
GCCGGCGUAGCUCAGUGGUAGAGCAGCUCACUCGUAAUGAGCGGGUCGUCUGUUCAAAUCAGAUCGCCGGCUCCA